GUCCCCUCGCCCUCCUUGGAUUGCAGCAAGGAAAGAGGUGUGUCUUCCGCAGAAAAAUGUGCAUGUUCUUUUAGAUGUGUGGCCUCCGAGCAAGGUAUUUAGCCUGCCUCUAUGUGCUCACCUGGAAAAUGGGGUGAUGAAGAAGAUGAUGAUGAUAAUGGGAACUCCCUCUUGGAGCUGCUGUGCAGAUGAAGAAAAGUGGGCAAGUUUUGAGUUCAACGUGAGGCCUCAAGGAUGUGUGCAACCCAUGGUACUUGAAUUUACUUAUUGACUGUUUUUUGGAAAUCCUUAUUUCCCAAAACUCGUGGAAGGAGCUGACUUCUGGCAGGAAACGUGGAACUGGCAGCGUGUCGUGCAAGCAUCUGCAAUCCCAGUCCUGAGCUGGACUUCUCAGAGAGGCUGGGCAUUAUUUAUGGAGAUGUCGGAGUGACAGGGGGAACUUCUGGCCAGGAACUGCCGGUGGUGUCACAUCCUUAACCUGGCUGACAUCGGAACACCCUGGGGGGAGCAUUUCUCCAGGAAAGGAUGGUGGGUCAGGA
This 539-nucleotide long non-coding RNA is filed under the name Homo sapiens (human). RNAcentral's name for it is "non-protein coding LINC00620:9". The record is from RNAcentral. Lineage: Eukaryota; Metazoa; Chordata; Mammalia; Primates; Hominidae.